CGUGAAAAUUUCCUUAGGAAAAGACGUUCUUCGAUGUUUGGUCUUCGGGGGCUUUCAAGCCUUCUCGACAAGAUGGAGAUUUUGUCCGUGUAACAGAAAGUAGCCAACAAGUUCUAAGUGAUUGGAAAGGCAAAUUACUUGUUGGCUGAAUUGCCUUCUAAAGGUUAAGGUCUUGAAAGGCUUCAGUGACCUUAGACUUAGGGGAGGUUAGCAAGUCUUGGGAAGACGAGUGUACCACUGAUGGUGGACACAAAGAAUGCAGAAUUGAUGGGCACAAGGCCAUUUGGCAGAACCCUCAUGAAAAGGAACAAACUAACAAAGCCAACGCAUCAACUGUGCUGAAUCAGCUCUGGCUGGGUAAAAGAUAAUUCCAGCAGGGGCAGAUCAAGGCCAUCGACUCACGGGCAACAAUUCAAGAAACCACUGACUAAAGAGAAGGACUGAGCAUGCAGACUAAUUAGCAUGAGAAGCAAGAGGAUCAUUAACCAACAGCAGACAGACUACUAAUUAUUGUUAAAACUAGGCCAGUAUUCCUGGAGGGAAGUAUAGCACAAGGACUGUUGGACAAACAUCAUACCCUCAGGAACAACACCCUCUGCAACCUUGGACAUUGGCACAUUUUUACCACAGAGACCCAGUGUUUGCCAGAAGAGUGACGUCGUUUCUCCAUUUGUUUGGCUCCUGCAGUGACCCCUUUGGCCUUUACGUGGACAGGCCUUCUAACCCUUCGAUGCAGGACUCCAAGGAUAGGAUUACAGGUCCUGGCAGAAAUAUUGAGGAGAUAAAAAGGUGAA
Catharus ustulatus (Swainson's thrush) is the source of this 794-nucleotide long non-coding RNA. RefSeq lists it as uncharacterized. NCBI's taxonomy places the organism in Eukaryota, Metazoa, Chordata, Aves, Passeriformes, Turdidae. The transcript has 3 exons. The record is from RefSeq and is a predicted model, not a curated record.